UCGUAACAAGGUCUCCGUUGGUGAACCAGCGGAGGGAUCAUUACCGAGUUUACAACUCCCAAACCCCUGUGAACAUACCAAUUGUUGCCUCGGCGGAUCAGCCCGCUCCCGGUAAAACGGGACGGCCCGCCAGAGGACCCCUAAACUCUGUUUCUAUAUGUAACUUCUGAGUAAAACCAUAAAUAAAUCAAAACUUUCAACAACGGAUCUCUUGGUUCUGGCAUCGAUGAAGAACGCAGCAAAAUGCGAUAAGUAAUGUGAAUUGCAGAAUUCAGUGAAUCAUCGAAUCUUUGAACGCACAUUGCGCCCGCCAGUAUUCUGGCGGGCAUGCCUGUUCGAGCGUCAUUUCAACCCUCAAGCCCUCGGGUUUGGUGUUGGGGAUCGGCGAGCCCUUGCGGCAAGCCGGCCCCGAAAUAUAGUGGCGGUCUCGCUGCAGCUUCCAUUGCGUAGUAGUAAAACCCUCGCAACUGGUACGCGGCGCGGCCAAGCCGUUAAACCCCCAACUUCUGAAUGUUGACCUCGGAUCAGGUAGGAAUACCCGCUGAACUUAAGCAUAUC
This 558-nucleotide unclassified non-coding RNA is filed under the name Fusarium phyllophilum. RNAcentral describes it as "sequence contains 18S rRNA gene, ITS1, 5.8S rRNA gene, ITS2, 28S rRNA gene". The stretch from base 192 to 345 matches the Rfam family "5.8S ribosomal RNA". The record is from RNAcentral. Lineage: Eukaryota; Fungi; Ascomycota; Sordariomycetes; Hypocreales; Nectriaceae.